GACGAACGCUGGCGGCGUGCUUAACACAUGCAAGUCGAACGGAAAGGCCCUGCUUUUGUGGGGUGCUCGAGUGGCGAACGGGUGAGUAACAUGUGAGUAACCUGCCCUUGACUUUGGGAUAACUUCAGGAAACUGGGGCUAAUACCGGCUAGGAGCUCCUGCUGCAUGGUGGGGGUUGGAAAGUUUCGGCGGUUGGGGAUGGACUCGCGGCUUAUCAGCUUGUUGGUGGGGUAGUGGCUUACCAAGGCUUUGACGGGUAGCCGGCCUGAGAGGGUGACCGGCCACAUUGGGACUGAGAGACGGCCCAGACUCCUACGGGAGGCAGCAGUGGGGAGUAUUGCACAAUGAGCGGGAGCCUGAUGCAGCGACGCCGCGUGCGGGAUGACGGCCUUCGGGUGGUAAACCGCUGUCGCCUGUGACGAAGCGUGAGUGACGGUAAUGGGUAAAGAAGCACCGGCUAACUACGUG
RNAcentral lists this ribosomal RNA (468 nucleotides) under uncultured bacterium. RNAcentral's name for it is "partial 16S ribosomal RNA". It matches the Rfam family "Bacterial small subunit ribosomal RNA", at positions 28 to 507 of the family's 1533-position model. The record is from RNAcentral.